UUUAACCUUUAUUGAAAACAUUGCAGGAAAGGGUAACUCUGAAAUAUUUCUUUCUUUCUUAUGAUCAAUAAUCUUUAUAUUGUGUUGUCGUCUGGAUAUUCCUUGAACCAGUUGACUCCUGCUAUUUGCUAAUGUUGUUUUCUUGUUACUAUUUUUAACUCUUUUUCUUUUUACCGCCCUUCAACGUGUCCUGGUAUGAGCAGAUAAAAUCUAUUGAAAUUGUGGUGUUUCUGUGCAUAUUUUGUCUUUAAUUUAAGUUAAUUGGUGAUGCAGGAGUGGGAAGGGAGGUUGAACGUUGGCAUGUCUAAUUCUGUGACAACUGCAAUUCGUGAAAGUGUUCGGGAUAUGGCCAUUGGUAAAACUAAAACUACUGAGAAAGCGGAUCGCGCAACAGUGGAGCAGGUGAAGAUCACUUAGCUCCUUGGAGCUUUCACCUUAGAAUGCAUCAAGUUUCUGUAACAUACAGUUUGGUUACGUGUUGUAUCAUCUUCUUUCUGCUAACCUUGCUGGAUGGAAGAAUCUUUUGUCUUUUCUUGAAUGUGUUUAUAUGUAGAAUGUAUAAGAGCUAUAUUCUUGAUUAUUUACUUUAGGAAUUAAU
This 598-nucleotide unclassified non-coding RNA is filed under the name Hevea brasiliensis (rubber tree). The record is from RNAcentral. Lineage: Eukaryota; Viridiplantae; Streptophyta; Magnoliopsida; Malpighiales; Euphorbiaceae.